This 585-nucleotide ribosomal RNA is filed under the name uncultured Actinomycetes bacterium. RNAcentral describes it as "bacterial SSU rRNA". It matches the Rfam family "Bacterial small subunit ribosomal RNA", at positions 876 to 1461 of the family's 1533-position model. Lineage: Bacteria; Bacillati; Actinomycetota; Actinomycetes. The record is from RNAcentral.
GGGAGUACGGCCGCAAGGCUAAAACUCAAAAGGAAUUGACGGGGGCCCGCACAAGCGGCGGAGCAUGCGGAUUAAUUCGAUGCAACGCGAAGAACCUUACCAAGACUUGACAUAUAGUAGAAAACUGCAGAAAUGUAGUCCCCGCAAGGCUGCUAUACAGGUGGUGCAUGGUUGUCGUCAGCUCGUGUCGUGAGAUGUUGGGUUAAGUCCCGCAACGAGCGCAACCCUCGUCCUAUGUUGCCAGCACGUAAUGGUGGGAACUCAUGGGAGACUGCCGGGGUCAACUCGGAGGAAGGUGGGGAUGACGUCAAAUCAUCAUGCCCCUUAUGUCUUGGGCUUCACGCAUGCUACAAUGGCCGGUACAAAGGGCUGCAAUACCGCAAGGUGGAGCGAAUCCCAAAAAGCCGGUCUCAGUUCGGAUUGAGGUCUGCAACUCGACCUCAUGAAGUCGGAGUCGCUAGUAAUCGCAGAUCAGCAACGCUGCGGUGAAUACGUUCCCGGGCCUUGUACACACCGCCCGUCAAGUCACGAAAGUCGGUAACACCCGAAGCCGGUGGCCUAACCGUAAGGAAGGAGCUGUCGAAG